This is a non-coding RNA of Oryza meridionalis, 199 nucleotides long. NCBI's taxonomy places the organism in Eukaryota, Viridiplantae, Streptophyta, Magnoliopsida, Poales, Poaceae. The record is from Rfam.
AAUAAACACAGCCAUGAGUUUACGUGUCCAAGUUUGAUCGUUAGUCUUAUUUAAAUUUUUUUAUGACUAGUUUUUUUUCGUUGUUAUUAGAUUAUAAAACAUAAAUAGUACUUUAUGCGUGACUUGCAUUUUUUAGUUUUUUCAAAAAAAAUAAAACGGAUAAUUAAAAUUGGACACGGAAACUUAUGGUGCGUUUAUU